CCUGGUUGAUCCUACCAGUAGUCAUAUGUUUGUCUCAAAGAUUAAGCCGUGCAUGUGUAAACAUGAACUAAUUCAAACUGUGAAACUAUGCAUGGCUCAUUAAGUUACUUGUAGUUUGUUUGAUUGUAUCUACUACUCGAAUAACCAUAGUAAUUCUAGAGCUAGUGCAUACAACAAAGCCUAACUUCUAGAAGUGAUACAUUUAUAUGAUAAAAGGUUGACAUGGGCUUUGCACAUUGCUCUGAUGAUUCAUGAUAACUUAACGGAUCGCAUAGCCUUUGUGCCAUUGAUGCAUCAUUUAAAUUUCUGCCCUAUUAACUUUCAAUGGUAGGAUAGUGGCCUAUUAUGGUGGUGACAGAUAAAAGAGAAUUAGGGUUCAAUUCUAGAGAGAGCCUGAGAAAUGAUGAUGACAUCUAAAAAAGGUAGUGGGUGUACAAAUUACCCAAUCUUGACACAAGGAGGUAAUGACAAUAAAUAACAAUAUUGGGCUCUAUAAGUUUGGUAAUUGGAAUGAGUACAAUCUAAAUCCCUUAAUAAGGAUCCAUUGGAGGGCAACUCUAGUGUCAGCAACUAUGGUAAUUCUAACUCCAAUAACAUAUAUUUAAGAUGUUGCAAUUAAAAAGCUUAUAGUUAGAACUAAGGUUAGGUCAUCCGAUCCACCUCAUGGUGAGCAUUGAUCUACUCGUCCCCAUUAUCGGUGAUGUGCUCCUGGCCUUAACUGGUCAGGUUAUUCCUCUAGUGCUAUUACUUUAAAGAAAUUAGAGUGUUUAAAAUAGGCCCACACUUUUAUAAAUUAGCAUGAGAUGACAUCAUAAGAUUUCAGUCUUAUUGUGUUAUCCUUCAAGAUUGGAUAAAUGAUUAACAAUGAUAGUGUGGGGCAUUCGCAUUUCAUAGUAAGAGGUGAAAUUUUUAGAUUUAUGAAAGAUGAACAACUGCAAAAGCAUUUGCCAAGGAUGUUUUCAUUAAUCAAGAAUGAAAGUUGAGGACUCGAAGAUAAUUAGAUACCGUCCUAAUCUCAACCAUAAACAAUGCCGACUAGGGAUUGACGAAUGUUACUUUUAGGGCUCCGUUGGCAGGUUAUGAGAAAUCAAAGUCUUUGGGUUCUAAGGGGCAUAUCAUUACAAGAUUGAAACUUAAAGGAAUUGACAAAAAAGCACCACCAGAAGUGUAGCCUGUGGCUUGAUUUGACUUAACACAGGGAAGCUGACUAGGUCCAAACAUAGUAAGGAUUGACAGAUUAAGAGCUCUUUCUUGAUUCUAUGGGUGGAGUGCAUGGCCAUUCUUAGUUGGUAGAGCAAUUUGUCUAGUAAAUUCCAUUAAUGAAUGAAACCUCAACUUGCUAACUAGCUACACCAAGGUGAUCCUUCAUGGCUAGCUUCUUAGAGGGGCUACAACCGCUUAGGCCAAGGAAGUUUGAGGUAGUAACAGGUUUGUGAUGCCCUUAGAUAUUAUGGGCUACACAUGUGCUACAUUAAUGUAUUCAACAAGUCUAUAGCCUUGGUCGAUAGGCCUAUGUAAUCAUUGAAACUUUAUCAUGAUAGGGAUAGAUCAUUGCAAUUGUUGGUCUUCAAUAAGGAAUUCCUAUUAAGCAUGAGCCAUCAACUCACGUUGACUACAUCUUGGCCCUUUAUACACAUCACCUGUUAUGCCUACCAAUUAAAUGGUUUGGUGAAGUGUUUGAAUCACAGUCACAUGGAUGGUUCAUUGCCUGCAACAUCAUGAGAAGUCCACUAAACCUUAUCAUUUAGAGGAAUGAGAAGUCGUAACAAGGUUUUCAUAGGUGAACCUAUGGAAG
Molecule: ribosomal RNA, 1795 nt
Filed under: Durio zibethinus
Lineage: Eukaryota; Viridiplantae; Streptophyta; Magnoliopsida; Malvales; Malvaceae
Description: SSU rRNA
Rfam family: Eukaryotic small subunit ribosomal RNA
Source: RNAcentral